AGGUUAAGUUAACAAGGGCGCAUGGUGAAUGCCUUGGCACUAGGAGCCGA
Molecule: ribosomal RNA, 50 nt
Filed under: Lactiplantibacillus plantarum
Lineage: Bacteria; Bacillati; Bacillota; Bacilli; Lactobacillales; Lactobacillaceae
Description: Lactobacillus plantarum partial 23S ribosomal RNA
Source: RNAcentral